This 496-nucleotide ribosomal RNA is filed under the name uncultured Sphingobacteriales bacterium. Its description in RNAcentral is "bacterial SSU rRNA". It matches the Rfam family "Bacterial small subunit ribosomal RNA", at positions 904 to 1382 of the family's 1533-position model. The record is from RNAcentral. Lineage: Bacteria; Pseudomonadati; Bacteroidota; Sphingobacteriia; Sphingobacteriales.
GCCACGCCCGCUCAAGAAACUCAAAGGAUUGACGGGGCCCGCACAAGCGGUGGAGCAUGUGGUUUAAUUCGAUGAUACGCGAGGAACCUUACCUGGGCUCAAAUGUAUGUUGACGUAUUCUGAAAGGGAUACUUCUUCGGACAAUAUACAAGGUGCUGCAUGGUUGUCGUCAGCUCGUGCCGUGAGGUGUCGGGUUAAGUCCCAUAACGAGCGCAACCCUACCUUUAGUUGCCAUCAGGUAAUGCUGGGGACUCUAAAGGAACUGCCUACGCAAGUAGUGAGGAAGGCGGGGAUGACGUCAAAUCAGCACGGCCCUUACGUCCAGGGCUACACACGUGCUACAAUGGCCGAUACAGAGGGCAGCUACCUGGUGACAGGAUGCAAAUCUCCAAAGUCGGUCUCAGUUCGGAUCGGAGUCUGCAACCCGACUCCGUGAAGUUGGAUUCGCUAGUAAUCGCGCAUCAGCCAUGGCGCGGUGAAUACGUUCCCGGGCCUU